This 443-nucleotide ribosomal RNA is filed under the name uncultured bacterium. RNAcentral describes it as "partial 16S ribosomal RNA". It matches the Rfam family "Bacterial small subunit ribosomal RNA", at positions 338 to 795 of the family's 1533-position model. The record is from RNAcentral.
CCUACGGGAGGCAGCAGUGGGGGAUAUUGGACAAUGGGGGGAACCCUGAUCCAGCGACGCCGCGUGAGUGAAGAAGUAUUUCGGUAUGUAAAGCUCUGUCAGCAGGGAAGAAAGCAAUGACGGUACCUGACCAAGAAGCCCCGGCUAACUACGUGCCAGCAGCCGCGGUAAUACGUAGGGGGCAAGCGUUAUCCGGAAUUACUGGGUGUAAAGGGAGCGUAGACGGCUGUGCAAGUCUGGAGUGAAAGGCGGGGGCCCAACCCCCGGACUGCUCGGGAAAGUGUAUGGCUGGAUGGCAGGAGAGGUAAGCGGAAUUCCGAGUGGCGCGGUGAAAGGAGUAGAUAUUAGGAGGAACACCAGUGGCGAAGGCGGCUUACUGGACUGUAACUAACGUUGAGGCUCGAAAGCGUGGGGAGCAAACAGGAUUAGAUACCCCAGUAGUC